This 375-nucleotide unclassified non-coding RNA is filed under the name fungal sp. Its description in RNAcentral is "partial internal transcribed spacer region". The stretch from base 1 to 46 matches the Rfam family "Eukaryotic small subunit ribosomal RNA", at positions 1786 to 1831 of the family's 1831-position model. Lineage: Eukaryota; Fungi. The record is from RNAcentral.
AAGUCGUAACAAGGUUUCCGUAGGUGAACCUGCGGAAGGAUCAUUAACAAAUGAACCAAGAGCUUAACUGGUCGGUUGUUAGAAGGUAGGGGGAAUGGGGGGGAAAAAGAGAGAGUAAUUUUUUUUUUUUUGUUUCUUUUUUCCCUACCUGAGACACGAAAACCAACCACCUUGUGUGCACUCCAUUGGAGUAAAUUUUUAUUUUUCUUUUUUUUGAAAGGAGGGGAAAGGGAAGGGGAAUCUUCUUUUUCCUUUAUUUCCUUCUUUCGAGGGGAAAAAUAAAAAAAAAAAUUCACUCUUCCAAUAAAAUAAUUAAACCUGAACGAAAAACAAAUAAAAAAAAAACAACUUUCAACAACGGAUCUCUUGGCUCUC